Molecule: ribosomal RNA, 301 nt
Filed under: uncultured bacterium
Lineage: Bacteria
Description: partial 16S ribosomal RNA
Rfam family: Bacterial small subunit ribosomal RNA
Source: RNAcentral
CAGUAGCCGCGGGAAUACGGAGGGUGCAAGCGUUAAUCGGAAUUACUGGGCGUAGAGCGUGCGUAGGCGGUUCGUUAAGUCUGUUGUGAAGGCCCCGGGCUCAACCUGGGAAUGGCAAUGGAUACUGGCGAGCUAGAGUGUGUCAGAGGAUGGUGGAAUUCCCGGUGUAGCGGUGAAAUGCGUAGAGAUCGGGAGGAACAUCAGUGGCGAAGGCGGCCAUCUGGGACAACACUGACGCUGAGGCACGAAAGCGUGGGGAGCAAACAGGAUUAGAUACCCCCGUAGUCCCUGUCUCUUAUAC